CUGGGAACUGCAUUUCGAACUGGCAAACUAGAGUGUGAUAGAGGGUGGUAGAAUUUCAGGUGUAGCGGUGAAAUGCGUAUAGAUCUGAAGGAAUACCGAUGGCGAAGGCAGCCACCUGGGUCAACACUGACGCUCAUGUACGAAAGCGUGGGGAGCAAACGGGAUUAGAUACCCCGGUAGUCCACGCCGUAAACGAUGUCUACUAUAAGCUCGGAACCUCGGUUCUGUUUUUCAAAGCUAACGCAUUAAGUAGACCGCCUGGGGAGUACGGCCGCAAGGUUAAAACUCAAAUGAAUUGACGGGGGCCCGCACAAGCGGUGGAGCAUGUGGUUUAAUUCGAUGCAACGCGAAGAACCUUACCUACACUUGACAUACAGAGAACUUUCUAGAGAUAGAUUGGUGCCUUCGGGAACUCUGAUACAGGUGCUGCAUGGCUGUCGUCAGCUCGUGUUGUGAGAUGUUGGGUUAAGUCCCGCAACGAGCGC
This 485-nucleotide ribosomal RNA is filed under the name uncultured bacterium. RNAcentral describes it as "bacterial SSU rRNA". It matches the Rfam family "Bacterial small subunit ribosomal RNA", at positions 614 to 1099 of the family's 1533-position model. The record is from RNAcentral.